GGGGGUAUAGCUCAGUGGUUAGAGCACCCGCAUACGUAUCGGAAGGUCGGGGGUUCGACUCCCUCUGUCUCCA
RNAcentral lists this transfer RNA (73 nucleotides) under Pristionchus pacificus. It matches the Rfam family "tRNA". Rfam says of the family: Transfer RNA (tRNA) molecules are approximately 80 nucleotides in length. Their secondary structure includes four short double-helical elements and three loops (D, anti-codon, and T loops). Further hydrogen bonds mediate the characteristic L-shaped molecular structure. tRNAs have two regions of fundamental functional importance: the anti-codon, which is responsible for specific mRNA codon recognition, and the 3' end, to which the tRNAs corresponding amino acid is attached (by aminoacyl-tRNA synthetases). tRNAs cope with the degeneracy of the genetic code in two manners: having more than one tRNA (with a specific anti-codon) for a particular amino acid; and 'wobble' base-pairing, i.e. permitting non-standard base-pairing at the 3rd anti-codon position. Lineage: Eukaryota; Metazoa; Nematoda; Chromadorea; Rhabditida; Neodiplogasteridae. The record is from Rfam by way of RNAcentral.